This 253-nucleotide ribosomal RNA is filed under the name uncultured bacterium. Its description in RNAcentral is "partial 16S ribosomal RNA". It matches the Rfam family "Bacterial small subunit ribosomal RNA", at positions 524 to 776 of the family's 1533-position model. The record is from RNAcentral.
UACGUAGGGUGCGAGCGUUGUCCGGAAUUAUUGGGCGUAAAGAGCUCGUAGGCGGUUUGUCGCGUCUGCCGUGAAAGUCCGGGGCUCAACUCCGGAUCUGCGGUGGGUACGGGCAGACUAGAGUGUGGUAGGGGAGACUGGAAUUCCUGGUGUAGCGGUGAAAUGCGCAGAUAUCAGGAGGAACACCGAUGGCGAAGGCAGGUCUCUGGGCCACUACUGACGCUGAGAAGCGAAAGCAUGGGGAGCGAACAGG